This 397-nucleotide ribosomal RNA is filed under the name uncultured bacterium. RNAcentral's name for it is "partial 16S ribosomal RNA". It matches the Rfam family "Bacterial small subunit ribosomal RNA", at positions 523 to 918 of the family's 1533-position model. The record is from RNAcentral.
AUACGUAGGGGGCAAGCGUUAUCCGGAUUUACUGGGUGUAAAGGGAGCGUAGACGGUGUGACAAGUCUGAUGUGAAAACCCGGGGCUCAACUCCGGGAUUGCAUUGGAAACUGCCAUACUUGAGUGCAGGAGAGGUAAGCGGAAUUCCUAGUGUAGCGGUGAAAUGCGUAGAUAUUAGGAGGAACACCGGCGGCGAAGGCGGCUUACUGGACUGUAACUGACGUUGAGGCUCGAAGGCGUGGGGAGCAAACAGGAUUAGAUACCCUGGUAGUCCACGCGGUAAACGAUGAAUACUAGGUGUUGGGGGUCUAUAGACCCUCGGUGCCGCAGCAAACGCAAUAAGUAUUCCACCUGGGGAGUACGUUCGCAAGAAUGAAACUCAAAUGAAUUGACGGGG